GUGCUCACUUCUGCAGCACAUAUACUAAAAUUGGAAGAGUAGUAUGGUCCCUGAACAAGGAUAACAUGCAAACUCAGGAAGUGUUCUGUAUUUUU
RNAcentral lists this small nuclear RNA (95 nucleotides) under Sciurus vulgaris (Eurasian red squirrel). Lineage: Eukaryota; Metazoa; Chordata; Mammalia; Rodentia; Sciuridae. The record is from RNAcentral.